AGAAGGAUAGCUGGGUCAAAUGAUGGGUUCAUUCUCAGUUUUCCAAGGAAUCACCAUAUUGCUUACCAUAUUGGCCACACCAUUUUGCAGUCCCACCAGCAAU
RNAcentral lists this microRNA precursor (103 nucleotides) under Marmota monax (woodchuck). Lineage: Eukaryota; Metazoa; Chordata; Mammalia; Rodentia; Sciuridae. The record is from RNAcentral.